Molecule: ribosomal RNA, 301 nt
Filed under: uncultured bacterium
Lineage: Bacteria
Description: partial 16S ribosomal RNA
Rfam family: Bacterial small subunit ribosomal RNA
Source: RNAcentral
CAGUCGCCGCGGGAAUACGUAGGUGGCAAGCGUUGUCCGGAAUUAUUGGGCGUAAAGGGCUCGCAGGCGGUUUCUUAAGUCUGAUGUGAAAGCCCCCGGCUCAACCGGGGAGGGCCAUUGGAAACUGGGAAACUUGAGUGCAGAAGAGGAGAGUGGAAUUCCACGUGUAGCGGUGAAAUGCGUAGAGAUGUGGAGGAACACCAGUGGCGAAGGCGACUCUCUGGUCUGUAACUGACGCUGAGGAGCGAAAGCGUGGGGAGCGAACAGGAUUAGAUACCCCCGUAGUCCCUGUCUCUUAUAC